This 659-nucleotide ribosomal RNA is filed under the name Salinicoccus hispanicus. RNAcentral describes it as "bacterial SSU rRNA". It matches the Rfam family "Bacterial small subunit ribosomal RNA", at positions 199 to 844 of the family's 1533-position model. The record is from RNAcentral. Lineage: Bacteria; Bacillati; Bacillota; Bacilli; Caryophanales; Staphylococcaceae.
GUUGAAAGGCGGCUUCGGCUGUCACUGAUGGAUGGGCCUGCGGCGCAUUAGCUAGUUGGUGGGGUAAGGGCCCACCAAGGCGACGAUGCGUAGCCGACCUGAGAGGGUGAUCGGCCACACUGGGACUGAGACACGGCCCAGACUCCUACGGGAGGCAGCAGUAGGGAAUCUUCCGCAAUGGACGCAAGUCUGACGGAGCAACGCCGCGUGAGUGAAGAAGGGUUUCGGCUCGUAAAACUCUGUUGUCAGGGAAGAACGUCCCCGUGAGUAACUGCACGGGGAGUGACGGUACCUGACCAGAAAGCCACGGCUAACUACGUGCCAGCAGCCGCGGUAAUACGUAGGUGGCAAGCGUUAUCCGGAAUUAUUGGGCGUAAAGCGCGCGUAGGCGGUCUGUUAAGUCUGAUGUGAAAGCCCCCGGCUCAACCGGGGAGGGUCAUUGGAAACUGGCAGACUUGAGUGCAGAAGAGGAGAGUGGAAUUCCAUGUGUAGCGGUGAAAUGCGCAGAGAUAUGGAGGAACACCAGUGGCGAAGGCGGCUCUCUGGUCUGCAACUGACGCUGAGGUGCGAAAGCGUGGGGAUCAAACAGGAUUAGAUACCCUGGUAGUCCACGCCGUAAACGAUGAGUGCUAAGUGUUAGGGGGUUUCCGCCCCUUAGU